GCAAGUCGAGCGAGACCUUCUGGUCUAGCGGCGGACGUGUUAGUAACGCGUGGGAACGUACCCUUCUCUGCGGAAUAGCCACUGGAAACGGUGAGUAAUAUCUCAUACGCCCUUCAGGGGAAAGAUUUAUCGGAGAAGGAUCGGCCCGCGUUAGAUUAGAUAGUUGGUGGGGUAAUGGCCUACCAAGUCUACGAUCUAUAGCUGGUUUGAGAGGAUGAUC
This 220-nucleotide ribosomal RNA is filed under the name uncultured bacterium. RNAcentral describes it as "partial 16S ribosomal RNA". It matches the Rfam family "Bacterial small subunit ribosomal RNA", at positions 57 to 305 of the family's 1533-position model. The record is from RNAcentral.